This 253-nucleotide ribosomal RNA is filed under the name uncultured bacterium. RNAcentral's name for it is "partial 16S ribosomal RNA". It matches the Rfam family "Bacterial small subunit ribosomal RNA", at positions 524 to 776 of the family's 1533-position model. The record is from RNAcentral.
UACGGAGGGUGCGAGCGUUGUCCGGAAUCACUGGGCGUAAAGGGCGCGUAGGCGGCUGGGGAAGUCGGUGGUGAAAGCUCGUGGCUCAACUGUGGGCUUGCAGCCGAUACGGGCGGGCUGGGAUUCGGUAGGGGAGACUGGAAUUCCUGGUGUAGCGGUGAAAUGCGCAGAUAUCAGGAGGAACACCGGUGGCGAAGGCGGGUCUCUGGGCCGAUAUCGACGCUGAGGAGCGAAAGCGUGGGGAGCGAACAGG